RNAcentral lists this ribosomal RNA (459 nucleotides) under uncultured bacterium. RNAcentral's name for it is "partial 16S ribosomal RNA". It matches the Rfam family "Bacterial small subunit ribosomal RNA", at positions 338 to 795 of the family's 1533-position model. The record is from RNAcentral.
CCUACGGGUGGCAGCAGUGAGGAAUAUUGGUCAAUGGGCGAGAGCCUGAACCAGCCAAGUCGCGUGAGGGAAGAAGGUCCUAUGGAUUGUAAACCUCUUUUGCCGGGGAGCAAAAAGCGGUACGUGUACCGCAUCGAGAGUACCCGGAGAAAAAGCAUCGGCUAACUCCGUGCCACCAGCCGCGGUAAUACGGAGUAUGCGAGCGUUAUCCGGAUUUAUUGGGUUUAAAGGGUGCGCAGGCGGCGAGUUAAGUCAGCGGUAAAAUUUCGGGGUUCAACCACGACAAGCCGUUGAAACUGGUGUGCUAGAGUGGGCGAGAAGUAUGCGGAAUGCGUGGUGUAGCGGUGAAAUGCAUAGAUAUCACGCAGAACUCCGAUUGCGAAGGCAGCAUACCGGCGCCCAACUGACGCUCAGGCACGAAAGCGUGGGUAGCGAACAGGAUUAGAUACCCGAGUAGUC